UCCGUUGUAGUCUAGCUGGUAAGGGUACUCGGCUUUCACCCGAGAGACCCGGAUUUGAUUACCGGCAACAGAG
Molecule: transfer RNA, 73 nt
Organism: Brassica oleracea var. oleracea
Lineage: Eukaryota; Viridiplantae; Streptophyta; Magnoliopsida; Brassicales; Brassicaceae
Rfam family: tRNA
About the family: Transfer RNA (tRNA) molecules are approximately 80 nucleotides in length. Their secondary structure includes four short double-helical elements and three loops (D, anti-codon, and T loops). Further hydrogen bonds mediate the characteristic L-shaped molecular structure. tRNAs have two regions of fundamental functional importance: the anti-codon, which is responsible for specific mRNA codon recognition, and the 3' end, to which the tRNAs corresponding amino acid is attached (by aminoacyl-tRNA synthetases). tRNAs cope with the degeneracy of the genetic code in two manners: having more than one tRNA (with a specific anti-codon) for a particular amino acid; and 'wobble' base-pairing, i.e. permitting non-standard base-pairing at the 3rd anti-codon position.
Source: Rfam